This 68-nucleotide ribosomal RNA is filed under the name Betaproteobacteria bacterium. Its description in RNAcentral is "partial 16S ribosomal RNA". It matches the Rfam family "Bacterial small subunit ribosomal RNA", at positions 1 to 68 of the family's 1533-position model. Lineage: Bacteria; Pseudomonadati; Pseudomonadota; Betaproteobacteria. The record is from RNAcentral.
GAACUGAAGAGUUUGAUCCUGGCUCAGAUUGAACGCUGGCGGCAUGCUUUACACAUGCAAGUCGAACG